CCUACGGGAGGCAGCAGUGAGGAAUAUUGGUCAAUGGUCGGGAGACUGAACCAGCCAAGUCGCGUGAAGGAUGAAGGUCCAGAGGAUUGUAAACUUCUUUUGUCAGGGAAUAAAGUCUGGCACGCGUCCCUUUAUGAGUGUACUUGAUGAAUAAGCAUCGGCUAACUCCGUGCCAGCAGCCGCGGUAAUACGGAGGAUCCGAGCGUUAUCCGGAUUUAUUGGGUUUAAAGGGUGCGGAGAUGGGUUGUUAAGUCAGUUGUGAAAGGCUGGGGCUCAACCGCAAAACUGCAGUUGAUACUGGCAGUCGCGAGUACAGUUGAGGUAGGCGGAAUUCGUGGUGUAGCGGUGAAAUGCUUAGAUAUCGCGAAGAACUCCGAUUGCGAAGGCAGCUUACUAA
RNAcentral lists this ribosomal RNA (397 nucleotides) under uncultured bacterium. RNAcentral describes it as "partial 16S ribosomal RNA". It matches the Rfam family "Bacterial small subunit ribosomal RNA", at positions 338 to 732 of the family's 1533-position model. The record is from RNAcentral.